CGUGAAGCCAACCUCAAGAUGAGAUUUCCCAUAGCGUAAGCUAGUAAGAUCCCUUGAAGAACACAAGGUUGAUAGGUCGGGGGUGUAAGCAUGGUAACAUGUUCAGCUGACCGAUACUAAUAGAUCGAGGGCUUGACCAA
This 140-nucleotide ribosomal RNA is filed under the name Clostridium perfringens. RNAcentral describes it as "partial 23S ribosomal RNA". It matches the Rfam family "Bacterial large subunit ribosomal RNA", at positions 2786 to 2925 of the family's 2925-position model. Lineage: Bacteria; Bacillati; Bacillota; Clostridia; Eubacteriales; Clostridiaceae. The record is from RNAcentral.